GUGGGGAAUAUUGGACAAUGGGCGCAAGCCUGAUCCAGCCAUGCCGCGUGAGUGAUGAAGGCCUUAGGGUUGUAAAGCUCUUUUGUCCGGGACGAUAAUGACGGUACCGGAAGAAUAAGCCCCGGCUAACUUCGUGCCAGCAGCCGCGGUAAUACGAAGGGGGCUAGCGUUGCUCGGAAUCACUGGGCGUAAAGGGCGCGUAGGCGGCUUUUUAAGUCGGGGGUGAAAGCCUGUGGCUCAACCACAGAAUUGCCUUCGAUACUGGAAAGCUUGAGACCGGAAGAGGACAGCGGAACUGCGAGUGUAGAGGUGAAAUUCGUAGAUAUUCGCAAGAACACCAGUGGCGAAGGCGGCUGUCUGGUCCGGUUCUGACGCUGAGGCGCGAAAGCGUGGGGAGCAAACAGGAUUAGAAACCCGAGUAGUCC
This 425-nucleotide ribosomal RNA is filed under the name uncultured bacterium. RNAcentral's name for it is "bacterial SSU rRNA". It matches the Rfam family "Bacterial small subunit ribosomal RNA", at positions 354 to 796 of the family's 1533-position model. The record is from RNAcentral.